Molecule: long non-coding RNA, 3339 nt
Organism: Acinonyx jubatus (cheetah)
Lineage: Eukaryota; Metazoa; Chordata; Mammalia; Carnivora; Felidae
Exons: 3
Source: RefSeq, a predicted model, not a curated record
AUCGAAGAAGGAGGCCUGGGCUGAGAGCACCGGAUGCCACGAAGACUUUAGGCUCUUUCAGCCUGACUGUCUGCCCUGCCGGGACCACAGGCCACCUUGGGAAGCUUCAGCCUGAAGCUGCAUUGAGCGUACGGAUUGGAUCCCAGACUCUGAGACCCUUGGUUUACGUUCAGACCUGGAGGGCGUUUACUGAACAUGCCCUGGGGCACGCCUUGCACCUUGCUCUGGGCCCUGGGUUUAGGCCUCCAGGAGCCACAGCCGCACAGAAGCCCCAGGGCCUUCUCAGCACACCCCAGGCUCCAGCGGAUUCUGGGGACCUCUCAGUCAUCACCCCAAAGUGGAAACCGGGCCCUGGCACUCCAUACCGUGAGAAUUCUUGGAAAUCGGGUGAGCCACGUGGAGUCGGGGCCCAUCAAUGUAGGCCCGCACGGCCAGGGCGCACCUCUCCUGGGCCUCUGGGAUGUGGGGCGGGGGCGGCGGCCCCGUGAGCAGGAGGUGGCUUGGCAGAGGGUCGUCCCCGUCCCGGAUGGAAUCUGGAUCUGUUCUGACAUCCGUGUGUGGUAACAAGUAUAAAAUGUUCAUAGUUUCGAGCCAGUGAUUCUCCUGCUGGGAGUUUAUCCUGAAGGAAUAACGUGAAAGCCAGAAAACCUGCCUCCCAGGCCCCUCCGGCUGCAUUAUUUAUAACUGGGAGAAGCUGGGAACGACCCAAGUGCACGGGGAGGCCGGCGAGGAAAGCCGCCGCGCGUCUGGUGAGCUGAACAACGCGCAGCUGUUCAAAGUCACGUCUGUGGAAAGUUCCAGCCAUGUCAGAAAUGCUUCUUCUGUGAUGAGCGGUGGACGGGGCAGAACACGGCGGGGCCGCAGCUGAGGGUUUCGGCUGGCAGCCGGGCAGAGCGGCCAAAGCCACGGACGCACCGUGCGUGCUCGUGGGAGCUGAACGGUGGGAAAACAGUGGUUCUGCUCCGGUCUGUGGCCCGUGGCGGGGACCGUCUUACCAACUCAUGUGAUUUAUGGGCUCAACCUCACCCCAGACUCAGAGGCCGUCCACCCAGGCCCCCGGGGCUUGGGGCUCCAGGCUCUGUCCCUGGGUCAGCAGCUGUAGCAGGGGCUCAGGGAGGGAGUCCGGCGGGAAGAGGCCUCUUCUCACAGCCAGGGCCACGCUGCCAGGGCCGAGGCUCCCGCCUGCUGUACCGCGAGUGGUUUCUGAGUUUCUUCUCGGUAAGACCGGCUGUGGGGUCUGCGCUGUGGCCCCUGCCACCCGUGUCCCCCUCGCCCACUGCCGGAGCCUCUGGGGGCCUUAACGAAGAUGGGGGCAGGGUGUGGCGUCCCUGCCCCGAGAAAGGUCCUGGGGCUCAAGCACGGUGACCAGCCAGGAGGAAUUGCUUCUCCACCCCGGGGAACCAGGGAGGGCUUCUUCAAGAACAGCUGGGCUGAGCGGGAGGGAGCGGGCAGGGACUGAGCUCGGAGCGUCUACCCCUGGGAGAAACUCGAAUCCCAGGCCCCCACUGUCAGUGGCCUUGGGUACUACCUUCGGGCUCGCGGAGGGGAGGGAGCUCCAGCCUGGGUGGUCAGGCGCCCGACAAAACCACGUGCUGACCCUGGGGUAAGACACAGGCCUCCUCGUGGGGGUGGCUCUGAGGCCCAGAGCCUCCGAGGAGCACAGGGUCUGGGGGUGCGGGGGGCAGUGCGGGGACCCGGCCUGUGGGAGCAGCCCCUCUGGCAGCCUCAGCAGGCUCUGGUGUCCCCACAGGGAGCCGCUCCCCCCUCCUGACCGCGUUCCCAGAGCGGCCGUGGCUGGACCUUGCCUUCCCCAGGGACCGGUCUCGGGUGGGGACUCUCCAGCCCCGCAGGGAGACCUGGGCCUCCCCUGGCCCGGAGGAGCCUGGCUCCCGAGGGCCGCUUCUCCGCUGGCCUCCCGAGGGGGACGUGCCAGCUUCUCCCUUGCACGGCCCGGGUCCUGGACGUUCUGCCCAAACCCCUCGGCGGCCUCAUUUCUCUCCGGAAGCCGGGCCUCCCAGUCUCCCUGCCUCCUGGCCAGUGCUGGGCCUCAUGAGGGUCCCGCAGGUACUCUCUGUUCUUUGUGCUGGAGACCGUUCCGGGGUGACCAAGGAGAAAGGGCACCGUGGCCUUGUCAGUGUCCUCACGGGACGCCUGGGAUCAUCAGGCCGGGGGGCGCGGGCGUCUUCUCCCCGCCGCUGGUCCGCGCUGGGCCAGGCUCCCUCGGCCCCCCCACAGCGAUGCCUCACUUCAACGGGGAAGCCCGCUCUGACCUCCCUGGGCCUCAGCGUUCUCGCCUGGGAAUGGGGCCAGUGCUGCCCCCCUCACAGGGCCGUGUGCGGGUGGAGCCCAACCGGUGCCCCGGCUGACCCCGCGGGGAUGGGCUGAGCUCUGCCCGAGGCACGAACGGACGCAUCGAGAAGGAACGAAUGAAGGCCGCAGAGGCGCCAAGAACCAUGAGCGCGGUGCGCUCCGUGGAAAAGCCCAGACGCGAGGGGCGCGUGCAGCCGGACCCCAUGGGUAUGAGAUGUCCCGGGAGGUAAGUCCGCGUGGCGAGCGAGGACGUGGGUGGCGGCCAGGGGCUGGGGGACAGGGAGCCCUGUUCACGGGUGCAGGCCGAGGGGGGCGUUCCGGAACCAGGUCGUGGGGGCGGCUGCACCACGGAGAGAACGUACCAGGCGCCACGGCAUUGUUCACUUGAGAGCGGCCACUUUUGGGGCACCUGCCUGGCCCAGUCGGAAGCGCGUGCGACUCCUGAUCUCAGGGUCGUGAGUUCGAGCCCCGUGUAGGGUGCAGACAUUACUUAAAAAUAAAAUCUUAAACAUAAACAUGUAAAUACAUAAAUCAAGCGGCCACUUCUCCGUUAUGUGAGUUUCACCUCAGCUUAAGAAACGAGGAGGGAACGGCGGGGGCUCCCCUUCCCUGGAGGGGAGCGAGCUCGGCUCUGGGAGGGGGUGGCCUGGUCUGAACCCAGGUCUCUCACCGCAAAGCGGACGCCCUGACUCAGUUCCCUUUUCUGAAACACAGGCCCUGGGUGUGGGGAAAGGUGAGGCCCAGCUCAAAAGGCCAAGGGUCUCUGUUCCCCAAGGGCAUCCCUGGAGUCGGGCAAAGUCUGGACCAGACCUGGGGGGACAGGUGGGGGAGCAGGCCUUGGUUGGGGCCAUGCCGGUGGCUGUGUCCAGAUGGGCAGCCCUCCCACCCACAUCCGGGGCGGCUGACGCUUGAAUCUGGGCCCGACCCCACCCCUCCCGCCCCUCUGACCCCUCACCCCGGGCCCGGCCUCCCUUCGCCCUGUUCUGACCCAGUGCCCAGCAGCAGCCCAGGAGCUGGGCCAGGUCCCAC